Molecule: ribosomal RNA, 253 nt
Filed under: uncultured bacterium
Lineage: Bacteria
Description: partial 16S ribosomal RNA
Rfam family: Bacterial small subunit ribosomal RNA
Source: RNAcentral
UACGUAGGUGGCAAGCAUUGUCCGGAUUUACUGGGCGUAAAGAGCGCGCAGGCGGUCGGAUAAGUCGAAUGUGAAAGCCCCCGGCUCAACUGGGGAGGGUCAUUCGAUACUGUUCGACUCGAAGGCAGGAGAGGGAAGUGGAAUUCCCGGUGUAGUGGUGAAAUGCGUAGAUAUCUGGAGGAACACCGGUGGCGAAGGCGGCAUCCUGGACCGGUAUUGACGCUGAUGCGCGAAAGCCAGGGGAGCAAACGGG